UACGUAGGGUGCGAGCGUUGUCCGGAAUUACUGGGCGUAAAGAGCUCGUAGGUGGUUUGUCGCGUUGUUCGUGAAAACUCACAGCUUAACUGUGGGCGUGCGGGCGAUACGGGCAGACUGGAGUACUGCAGGGGAGACUGGAAUUCCUGGUGUAGCGGUGGAAUGCGCAGAUAUCAGGAGGAACACCGGUGGCGAAGGCGGGUCUCUGGGCAGUAACUGACCGCUGAGGAGCGAAAGCGUGGGGAGCGAACAGG
This 254-nucleotide ribosomal RNA is filed under the name uncultured bacterium. RNAcentral describes it as "partial 16S ribosomal RNA". It matches the Rfam family "Bacterial small subunit ribosomal RNA", at positions 524 to 776 of the family's 1533-position model. The record is from RNAcentral.